GUAGGGAAUAUUGCGCAAUGGACGAAAGUCUGACGCAGCAACACCGCGUGGGUGAUGAAGCAUCUAGGUGUGUAAAACCCUGUCAGUGGGGAAGAACAGCAUGAGGAGUAACUGCCUUGUGCCUGACGGUACCCGCAGAGGAAGUCCCGGCUAACUCCGUGCCAGCAGCCGCGGUAAUACGGGGGGGACGAGCGUUGUUCGGAUUUACUGGGCGUAAAGGGCGCGUAGGCGGGCCCUCAAGUCGGGUGUGAAAACUGGUGGCUCAACUGCCAGCCUGCAUUCGAUACUGAGGAUCUUGAGUACGGGAGAGGAAAGCGGAAUUCCAGGUGUAGCGGUGAAAUGCGUAGAUAUCUGGAAGAACACCCGUAGCGAAGGCGGCUUUCUGGACCGAUACUGACGCUAAAGCGCGAAGGCUUGGGUAGCAAACAGG
RNAcentral lists this ribosomal RNA (430 nucleotides) under uncultured bacterium. RNAcentral describes it as "bacterial SSU rRNA". It matches the Rfam family "Bacterial small subunit ribosomal RNA", at positions 354 to 776 of the family's 1533-position model. The record is from RNAcentral.